RNA transcript from Lycium barbarum (goji berry), 2448 nucleotides. It is a transcript of the gene named ketol-acid reductoisomerase, chloroplastic-like, with no coding region annotated. The transcript is spliced from 11 exons. The record is from RefSeq and is a predicted model, not a curated record. NCBI's taxonomy places the organism in Eukaryota, Viridiplantae, Streptophyta, Magnoliopsida, Solanales, Solanaceae.
GUAUAGUCUAUUCAGAUAUACGGCGUAUCCUUACCCUAGCUAUAAAUUCUGAUAAAACAAAUCCGAACAUAAACACGUGACCCUCAUUUCCACACUCUCCAGCGGCAGCAAUGGCGGGGGCGGCGAUUACUGCUUUCUCCAUUUCCACUUCGAAAUUCCUAAAAUUAGCUACAUUUUCGAGUAACUUAGGGUUCCUUUCUUCUUCACUUAAACCUCUCAGAGCUACUAAAUCACUUUCAUCUACUCGAAAUGGAAAUGGAGCACUUAAUGCUCGUAUGGUUGCUGCUCCUGCUACUAUAAAAGCACCGAUUUCACUCGAUUUUGAAACGUCUGUAUUCAAUAAAGAGAAAGUUACCCUUUCUGGACACGAUGAGUACAUUGUGAAAGGAGGGAGAGAUUUGUUCAAGUUGUUGCCGGAUGCAUUCAAGGGAAUCAAGCAGAUUGGUGUCAUUGGCUGGGGUUCUCAGGGACCAGCUCAAGCCCAGAACUUGAGGGAUUCUCUUGCAGAAGCAAAAUCUGAUAUAGUUGUUAAGAUUGGUUUGAGAAAGGGUUCUCGCUCCUUUGCUGAGGCUCGUGCAGCUGGGUUUACCGAAGAAAAUGGUACCUUAGGAGACAUAUAUGAAACUAUCUCUGGCAGUGAUCUAGUGCUGCUUUUGAUUUCUGAUGCAGCUCAGGCGGACAACUAUGAAGAAGUGUUUUCUCACAUGAAGCCGAAUAGCAUACUAGGUCUUUCGCAUGGAUUCCUUCUCGGCCAUUUGCAGUCAAUGGGCCUUGACUUUCCCAAGAAUAUCAGUGUGAUUGCUGUAUGUCCCAAGGGAAUGGGCCCAUCUGUCAGGAGAUUAUAUGUGCAAGGAAAAGAAAUCAAUGGUGCUGGAAUCAAUGCAAGUUUUGGUGUUCACCAGGAUAUUGAUGGAAGGGCCACAGAUGUUGCUCUUGGGUGGUCAGUUGCCCUUGGUUCCCCCUUUACAUUUGCUACUACCCUUGAACAGGAAUACAGGAGCGAUAUAUUUGGCGAGCGAGGCAUAUUACUUGGCGCUGUCCAUGGCAUUGUUGAGUCGUUGUUCAGAAGGUACACGGAAAAUGGAAUGAGUGAAGAGCUCGCAUACAAGAAUACUGUUGAGUGCAUAACUGGAAACAUUUCUAGGACCAUAUCAACCAAGGGUAUGUUAGCUCUAUACAAUUCAUUAGAUGCGGAUGGCAAGAAGGAGUUCGCGACUGCAUAUACUGCUUCAUAUUACCCUUGCAUGGAGAUCUUGUAUGAGUGCUAUGAAGAUGUUGCAACAGGUAGUGAGAUCAGGAGUGUUGUCUUGGCAGGUCGCCGCUUUUCUGAGAAAGAGGGGUUACCAGCUUUCCCAAUGGGCAAAAUAGACCAGACAAGGAUGUGGAAAGUCGGUGAGCAUGUCCGUGCAACACGCCCAUCCGGUGAUCUGGGUCCUCUGUAUCCUUUCACAGCUGGUGUCUAUGUCGCAUUGAUGAUGGCCCAGAUUGAGGUUCUGAGGAAGAAAGGCCACUCUUACUCAGAGAUCAUAAACGAAAGUGUCAUUGAGUCUGUUGAUUCCCUCAAUCCUUUCAUGCAUGCACGUGGAGUGUCAUUCAUGGUUGACAAUUGCUCUACAACAGCGCGUUUAGGAUCCAGGAAGUGGGCCCCUCGAUUUGAUUACAACCUCACCCAGCAAGCUCUGGUGGCAGUCGACAAUAACCUUCCUAUCGAUAUUGAUCUUAUCACCAAUUUCGUAUGUGAUCCUGUGCACGAAGCUAUUGAAGUUUGUGCCCGAUUGAGACCGACAGUCGACAUUUCAGUUCCUCCAGAUGCCGACUUUGUCCGUCCCGAGCUCAGACAAACUGGCAACUAAAGUUCUUUGUCAGUCACGUCUAUUGUGAUGGUGGUGGUUUUAUGGAAUUGGAAGGAGUAAGGCAUUAGGCCGGAGGUUAUGUUUAGUCUGGUUGAGCAAUUUUUAAAGGUAGAUCAUUUCUGUAUGCUGUGAUUUUUGGAGGAUUAACGGAAUAAAAACACAGAUUGGAGUCUCUUUCUGUGUUGCUUGGACUCUUCAAAAAUGUUGAUACACCCGUGUCGGAUCCUCGAAAAUGCACUACUUUUGGAGUAUCCAACACGAACCCCUCGACAUUAUUGAGGAGUCCGAGAAACAUAGGUCUCUUUAGCCAUGCUAGUUAAUGUUUCCCAAUCAAAGGUUUAACUAAUUGUCUAAAUAGGGUUUGUCGGGGCGAGGAUUGAAUUUGUUCUUGUUCUUUCUUCUUUGUUGUAGCCUUUCUAGAAUCUGGUUUGCCCUUUUUUUGUUAAGAGCUGAUGAUAAUUAUCACCAUUUUAUAGUAAUGCUAGUCUUAGCGCUGGGCAGGCGACUUGCUACAACUUUGUAAGGGAUUAUGACGUGUGUUUGCUUCCACUACAGUGGCAGGGAAAUGGAUCCCAAAAUGCUUUUAGCGUGUUUA